RNAcentral lists this unclassified non-coding RNA (255 nucleotides) under uncultured Cellvibrionales bacterium. Its description in RNAcentral is "contains 16S-23S intergenic spacer region". The record is from RNAcentral. Lineage: Bacteria; Pseudomonadati; Pseudomonadota; Gammaproteobacteria; Cellvibrionales.
UCCGGUUUGUCACCGGCAGUCUCGCAUGAGUCCCCAACUAAAUGCUAAGUUCCAAGGAUGUCAAGGCCUGGUAAGGUUCUUCGCGUUGCGUCGAAUUAAACCACAUGCUCCACCGCUUGUGCGGGCCCCCGUCAAUUCAUUUGAGUUUUAACCUUGCGGCCGUACUCCCCAGGCGGUCUACUUAGUGCGUUAGCUGCGCCACUAAGAGCUCAAGGCUCCCAACGGCUAGUAGACAUCGUUUACGGCGUGGACUAC